Molecule: transfer RNA, 71 nt
Filed under: Pseudomonadota bacterium
Lineage: Bacteria; Pseudomonadati; Pseudomonadota
Also listed under: 1 other name
Description: tRNA-Gly
Rfam family: tRNA
About the family: Transfer RNA (tRNA) molecules are approximately 80 nucleotides in length. Their secondary structure includes four short double-helical elements and three loops (D, anti-codon, and T loops).
Source: RNAcentral
GCGGGAGUGGUGUAAUGGUAACACAUCAGCCUUCCAAGCUGACGAUGCGGGUUCGAUUCCCGUCUCCCGCA